This 472-nucleotide ribosomal RNA is filed under the name uncultured Rhodoferax sp. RNAcentral's name for it is "bacterial SSU rRNA". It matches the Rfam family "Bacterial small subunit ribosomal RNA", at positions 908 to 1382 of the family's 1533-position model. Lineage: Bacteria; Pseudomonadati; Pseudomonadota; Betaproteobacteria; Burkholderiales; Comamonadaceae. The record is from RNAcentral.
AAUUGACGGGACCCGCACAAGCGGUGAUGAUGUGUUUAAUUCGAUGCAACGCGAAAAACCUUUACCCACCUUUGACAUGUACGGAACCCUUUAGAGAUAGAGGGGUGCUCGAAAGAGAGCCGUAACACAGGUGCUGCAUGGCUGUCGUCAGCUCGUGUCGUGAGAUGUUGGGUUAAGUCCCGCAACGAGCGCAACCCUUGUCAUUAGUUGCUACAUUCAGUUGGGCACUCUAAUGAGACUGCCGGUGACAAGCCGGAGGAAGGUGGGGAUGACGUCAAGUCCUCAUGGCCCUUAUAGGUGGGGCUACACACGUCAUACAAUGGCUGGUACAAAGGGUUGCCAACCCGCGAGGGGGAGCCAAUCCCAUAAAGCCAGUCGUAGUCCGGAUCGUAGUCUGCAACUCGACUACGUGAAGUCGGAAUCGCUAGUAAUCGUGGAUCAGAAUGUCACGGUGAAUACGUUCCCGGGUCUU